Long non-coding RNA from Monodelphis domestica (gray short-tailed opossum), 980 nucleotides. RefSeq lists it as uncharacterized. The record is from RefSeq and is a predicted model, not a curated record. Lineage: Eukaryota; Metazoa; Chordata; Mammalia; Didelphimorphia; Didelphidae.
GCCCAACAGUUUGUCUUCUCAGAGUCUGCUCUUCUGGAAUAACCUUGUUUGCUCUCCUGGAAGGACCUUGAAGAGGAUUUUGCCUGUGAUCAAUGGAGGAAGGAGUUUUUCUGGAUCUGGCUGCUGGCAGCAUCAGUCUGCACUUACUUGGACAUCUAACAACUUAAGAUCCUGCUCUAUUUCAUUUAGACUCCUGAUUUCUUUCUAGGAGCUCUCUUAAUGGUGGCAAAGAACUUGAAAUUGAGAGGCUGCUUAUCAGUUGGGGAAUGGCUGAACAAAUGGUGGCAUAUGAUUGCGAAAGAAUGCUACUGUUCUAUAAGAAAUGAUGAGCAGAAUUAUUUCAGAAAAACUUACAUGAACUCUACAAAGUGAAGUCAGCAGAACUUGGAGAAUAUUAUGCACAGCAACAGCAAUAUUGUUUAAUGAACAAUUGUGAAUGACAGCUAUUCUUACCAAUACCGUGAUCCAAGACAAUCCUCAAGCACACAUAUUGAAAAAUACAUCUGCCUCCAGAGAAAGAACUGAAGGGGUCAGAAUACAGAACAAAACACACUAUAUUUUACUUUCUUUCUUCAUUUUAUUUUGAGUUCUCUUCUACAAAAUGGUUAAUAUGAAAAAUGUCUUACAUUAUUAUAUAUGUAAAAUAUAUAUCAGUUUGCUUGCCAUCUCAGAGGAAGGAAGGAUUAGAAGGAGAGAAUUUGUUUCAAAAUUUAAAUAAAAUAAAUGUAAAAAUUGUUUUUAAAUGUAAUUGAGGAAAAAUUAAAUAUUAUAUAAGAAAAAAAGAUAAUUCUUUAUAUAAGGAGAAGUUUGGAGUUUUGUGCCUGGCACAUUGGAACAGAUGAAUAAAUCCUUGCUGAGUGAGUGAUUGACUAAAACAAUCAUGCAAUUUCCAAAGGGAAUCCAGACUACUAAAAAAACUUCUGCUUAAUUCUAACUUUAAGUCUAUCUGAAAUAUCUCUAAUAUACACAUAUCAAAUCCA